CCCUUAGAUGUCCUGGGCCGCACGCGCGCUACACUGAGUGUCUGAGAUACGAGUCUGCCUGGUCCGGCAAGGUCUAGGUAAUCGCUAAAGGACACAUCAUGCUUGGGAUAGAUUAUUGCAAAUAUUAAUCUUGAACGAGGAAUUCCUAGUAAGCGCAAGUCAACAGCUUGCGUUGAUUACGUCCCUGCCCUUUGUACACACCGCCCGUCGCUACUACUGAUUGGAUGUUUAAGCGAGGUUCUCGAACUGCUAGCGACUUAGCUUCGGUGAGGUCGCAGUGUGGGAAGUGAACCUAGCUUUGGUGUCUAGAGGAAGUAAAAGUCGUAACA
Molecule: ribosomal RNA, 329 nt
Filed under: uncultured eukaryote
Lineage: Eukaryota
Description: partial 18S ribosomal RNA
Rfam family: Eukaryotic small subunit ribosomal RNA
Source: RNAcentral